UUCGUGGACAAAAGGGAAACAACCCAGACCGCCAGCUAAGGUCCCUAAUCUCAUCUUAGUUCUUAAGGAAGUCAGAAUGCCGUGACAGCCAGGAUGUUGGCUUAGAAGCAGCCACCAUUUAAAAAGUGCGUAACAGCUUACUGGUCGAGCAAUUUUGCGCCGAUAAUGAACGGGAGUAAGUUCUGCACCGAAGCAGUGGAACACGCUUGCGUGUUGGUAGGAGAGCGCUGUACGUCAGAUACAAGUCGCACCGUAAGGAGCGAUGUCGGGGCGUACAGGUGAUUAUGCCGGAAUGAGUAACGAUAAAGCAGGUGAGAAUCCUGCUCGCCGAAAGCCUAAGGUUUCCUGGGGAAGGGAAAUCCGCCCAGGGUUAGCCGGUACCUUAGUCGAGGCCGAAAGGCGUAGACGAUGGACAGCAGGUCAACAUUCCUGCGCCAUAUGCUGGACCGAUGGAGGGACGGCGUCUGAAGGGUGAGGGGACGGAUAGAAAUGUCCCUCGCCGGUGUGGAGGGUAGCUGUAGGCAAAUCCGCAGCGACAUCCCAAAGCAUCGGACAAAGACGCUUAUGUUUCGAUAGUCAUCUGAAGGACGUCCAAGAAAAGCUUCUAGGGUUGAAGGUAUAUGACCGUACUAAAACUGACACAGGUAGGCGGGACGAGAAGUCCUAGGCGCUCGGGAGAACACUGGUUAAGGAACUCUGCAAAAUGGCCCCGUAAGUUCGCGAUAAGGGGUGCCCCUGGUGGUUCACGCUGCUGGGGGCCACAGUAAAUCGGUAGCUGCGACUGUUUAUCAAAAACACAGGACUCUGCUAACACGCAAGUGGAUGUAUAGAGUCUGACGCCUGCCCGGUGCUGGUAGGUUAAGGAAGUCGGUUCACGCUGACGACCGAAGCCCCAGUAAACGGCGGCCGUAACUAUGACGGUCCUAAGGUAGCGAAGUUCCUUGUCGGGUAAGUUCCGACCUGCAUGAAAGGCGUAACGACAGCUACACUGUCUCAACCACCGACCCGGUGAAAUUGUAGUCGUGGUGAAGAUGCCACGUACCCGCGGUUAGACGGAAAGACCCCGUGAACCUUUACUGCAGGCUGAUAUUGGGUUGAGGUCUAUCAUGUGUAGGAUAGGUGGGAGACUGUGAUCCUGCGACGCCAGUCGUAGGUUAGUCGUCCUUGAAAUACCACCCUUGGUAUGCUUUAAUUCUAACGUUGAUUGUGUGAAUCCACACAACGGACAGUGUCAGUUGGGCAGUUUGGCUGGGGCGGUCUCCUCCCAAAAUGUAACGGAGGAGUACAAAGGUGCACUCAGCCUGGUUGGCAAUCAGGCGUAGAGCGUAAAGGUAUAAGUGCGCUUAACUGCGAGACCCAUCAGUCGAGCAGAUACGAAAGUAGGUCUUAGUGAUCCUGUGGUUCCGAAUGGAAGGGCCAUAGCUCAUCAGAUAAAAGGUACUCCGGGGAUAACAGGCUUAUCGCAUCCGAGCGUCCAUAGCGGCGAUGCGGUUUGGCACCUCGAUGUCGGCUCAUCACAUCCUGGGGGUGAAGAAGCUCCCAAGGGUUUGGCUGUUCGCCAAUGAAAGUGGUACGUGAGCUGGGUUCAGACCGUCGUGAGACAGGUCGGUCCCUAUCUGCCGUGGGCGUACGAAACUUGAGGAGGUUCUUCUUUAGUACGAGAGGAUUUGGAAGGACGUAGCUCUGGUGUACCAGUUGUCGCGCUAGCGGCACGGCUGGAUAGCUAACUACGGAAAGGAUAAACGCUGAAAGCAUCUAAGCGUGAAGCCCUCUCCAAGAUUAGGUUUCGCAUGAGUCCCCUUGAAGACGACAAGGUUGAUAGGUCAGAUGUGUAAGCUCAGUAAUGGGUUCAGCUAACUGAUACUAACGGACAAACGGCUUGACCACUUAUAU
RNAcentral lists this ribosomal RNA (1893 nucleotides) under Rhodopirellula sp. RNAcentral's name for it is "bacterial LSU rRNA". It matches the Rfam family "Bacterial large subunit ribosomal RNA", at positions 1004 to 2925 of the family's 2925-position model. The record is from RNAcentral. Lineage: Bacteria; Pseudomonadati; Planctomycetota; Planctomycetia; Pirellulales; Pirellulaceae.